AACGGUCUAUACCUGCGGUACCUGCGGAGGGAUCAUUACAGAGUUGCAAAACUCCAAACCAUUGUGAACUUACCUUUGCCGUUGCUUCGGCGGGCGGCCCGGGUCCCGACCCGGCGCCCCCCGGCCCCGUCAGGGGCGCCCGCCGGAGGUAAACCAAACUCUUGAAUUGUAUGGCCUCUCUGAGUCUUCUGUACUGAAUAAGUCAAAACUUUCAACAAUGGAUCUCUAGAUCGGAAGAGC
This 240-nucleotide unclassified non-coding RNA is filed under the name soil metagenome. RNAcentral describes it as "partial contains 5.8S ribosomal RNA, internal transcribed spacer 2, and large subunit ribosomal RNA". The record is from RNAcentral.